AUUGAACGUUGGCGGCACGCCUUAUACAUGCAAGUCGAACGAGAAAGCACCUUCGGGUGUGAGUAAAGUGGCGGACGGGUGAGUAACGCGUAGGAACAUGCCCAGUAGUGGGGGACAACUCGGGGAAACUCGAGCUAAUACCGCAUACGCUCCUUUUCAUUGAAGAGGAGGAAAGUGGGGGAUCUUCGGACCUCACGCUAUUGGAGUGGCCUGCGUUGGAUUAGCUUGUUGGUGAGGUAAAGGCUCACCAAGGCGACGAUCUAUAGCUGGUCUGAGAGGACGAUCAGCCACACUGGAACUGAGACACGGUCCAGACUCCUACGGGAGGCAGCAGUGGGGAAUAUUGGACAAUGGGCGCAAGCCUGAUCCAGCAAUGCCGCGUGUGUGAAGAAGGCCUUCGGGUUGUAAAGCACUUUCACCCGUGAAGACGAUGACGGUAGCGGGAGAAGAAGCCCCGGCUAACUCCGUG
Molecule: ribosomal RNA, 469 nt
Filed under: uncultured bacterium
Lineage: Bacteria
Description: bacterial SSU rRNA
Rfam family: Bacterial small subunit ribosomal RNA
Source: RNAcentral